RNAcentral lists this ribosomal RNA (889 nucleotides) under bacterium enrichment culture clone 1d09. RNAcentral describes it as "bacterial SSU rRNA". It matches the Rfam family "Bacterial small subunit ribosomal RNA", at positions 642 to 1532 of the family's 1533-position model. The record is from RNAcentral.
UAGAGUGCGUCGGGGCAGAAGGAAUUCCUGGUGUAGCGGUGAAAUGCGUAGAUAUCAGGAAGAACACCGGUGGCGAAAGCGUUCUGCUAGGCCGCAACUGACACUGAGGGACGAAAGCUAGGGGAGCGAAUGGGAUUAGAUACCCCAGUAGUCCUAGCCGUAAACGAUGGAUACUAGGUGUGGCUUGUAUCGACCCGAGCCGUACCGUAGCUAACGCGUUAAGUAUCCCGCCUGGGGAGUACGCACGCAAGUGUGAAACUCAAAGGAAUUGACGGGGGCCCGCACAAGCGGUGGAGUAUGUGGUUUAAUUCGAUGCAACGCGAAGAACCUUACCAAGACUUGACAUCCUGCGAAUCUCGGCGAAAGCUGAGAGUGCCUUAGGGAGCGCAGAGACAGGUGGUGCAUGGCUGUCGUCAGCUCGUGUCGUGAGAUGUUGGGUUAAGUCCCGCAACGAGCGCAACCCUCGUUUUUAGUUGCCAGUAUUAAGUUGGGCACUCUAGAGAGACUGCCGGUGACAAACCGGAGGAAGGUGAGGAUGACGUCAAGUCAGCAUGCCCCUUACGUCUUGGGCUACACACGUACUACAAUGCUACGGACAAAGGGCAGCAAGCUAGUGAUAGCAAGCAAAUCUCGUAAACCGUAGCUCAGUUCAGAUCGAAGGCUGCAACUCGCCUUCGUGAAGGAGGAAUCGCUAGUAAUUGCAGGUCAGCAUACUGCAGUGAAUUCGUUCCCGGGCCUUGUACACACCGCCCGUCACACCAUGGAAGUUGGUCACGCCCGAAGUCAUUACCCCAACCUUUGGGAGGGGGAUGCCUAAGGUAGGACUGGUGACUGGGGUGAAGUCGUAACAAGGUAGCCGUACCGGAAGGUGCGGCUGGAUCACCUCCUU